This 73-nucleotide transfer RNA is filed under the name Bacteroidales bacterium. RNAcentral describes it as "tRNA-Lys". It matches the Rfam family "tRNA". Rfam says of the family: Transfer RNA (tRNA) molecules are approximately 80 nucleotides in length. Lineage: Bacteria; Pseudomonadati; Bacteroidota; Bacteroidia; Bacteroidales. RNAcentral also lists the same sequence under 1 other name. The record is from RNAcentral.
GACCAAUUAGCUCAGCAGGUAGAGCACCUGCCUUUUAAGCAGGGGGUCUGGGGUUCAAGUCCCCAAUUGGUCA